RNAcentral lists this ribosomal RNA (619 nucleotides) under uncultured prokaryote. RNAcentral's name for it is "bacterial SSU rRNA". It matches the Rfam family "Bacterial small subunit ribosomal RNA", at positions 874 to 1503 of the family's 1533-position model. The record is from RNAcentral.
UGGGGAGUACNCCGGCAACGGUGAAACUCAAAGGAAUUGACGGGGGCCCGCACAAGCGGAGGAACAUGUGGUUUAAUUCGAUGAUACGCGAGGAACCUUACCCGGGCUUGAACGUAGGGAGACAGUUCUGGAAACAGAAUCUCUAGCAAUAGCNGCCUACGAGGUGCUGCAUGGUUGUCGUCAGCUCGUGCCGUGAGGUGUCGGCUUAAGUGCCAUAACGAGCGCAACCCACAUCGAUAGUUACUAACAGGUCAAGCUGAGGACUCUAUCGAGACUGCCAGCGUAAGCUGUGAGGAAGGUGUGGAUGACGUCAAAUCAGCACGGCCCUUACGUCCGGGGCGACACACGUGUUACAAUGGGAGGUACAAAGGGCAGCUACCUGGCGACAGGAUGCUAAUCUCUAAAACCUUUCUCAGUUCGGAUUGGAGUCUGCAACUCGACUCCAUGAAGCUGGAUUCGCUAGUAAUCGCGCAUCAGCCAUGGCGCGGUGAAUACGUUCCCGGGCCUUGUACACACCGCCCGUCAAGCCAUGGAAGCUGGGGGUACCUGAAGUAUGCAACCGCAAGGAGCGUCCUAGGGUAAAACCGGUAACUGGGGCUAAGUCGUAACAGGUAGCCGU